This 253-nucleotide ribosomal RNA is filed under the name uncultured bacterium. RNAcentral describes it as "partial 16S ribosomal RNA". It matches the Rfam family "Bacterial small subunit ribosomal RNA", at positions 524 to 776 of the family's 1533-position model. The record is from RNAcentral.
UACGUAGGGACCAAGCGUUGUUCGGAUUUACUGGGCGUAAAGGGCGCGUAGGCGGCGUGGUAAGUCACUUGUGAAAUCUCUGAGCUUAACUCAGAACGGCCAAGUGAUACCGCUGUGCUUGAGUGUGGAAGGGGCAAUCGGAAUUCUUGGUGUAGCGGUGAAAUGCGUAGAUAUCAAGAGGAACACCUGAGGUGAAGACGGGUUGCUGGGCCAACACUGACGCUGGGGCGCGAAAGCCAGGGGAGCAAACGGG